AAUGGUUAACUGUAGAGUCAACCGUGUAUACAAAUGCAAGUAUCUUUCGUCUGUAGAAGGCAGCAACCCUACAGAAACAUGGAGGUCUCUGACGGCAUGUCUGGCAAGUCUGAUUAUUUCCCUUGACACAGC
Molecule: non-coding RNA, 132 nt
Organism: Rattus rattus (black rat)
Lineage: Eukaryota; Metazoa; Chordata; Mammalia; Rodentia; Muridae
Product: small Cajal body-specific RNA 3
Exons: 1
Source: RefSeq, a predicted model, not a curated record